This 592-nucleotide ribosomal RNA is filed under the name uncultured bacterium. RNAcentral describes it as "partial 16S ribosomal RNA". It matches the Rfam family "Bacterial small subunit ribosomal RNA", at positions 355 to 941 of the family's 1533-position model. The record is from RNAcentral.
UAGGGAAUCUUCGGCAAUGGACGAAAGUCUGACCGAGCAACGCCGCGUGAGUGAAGAAGGUUUUCGGAUCGUAAAACUCUGUUGUUAGAGAAGAACAAGGAUGAGAGUAAAAUGUUCAUCCCUUGACGGUAUCUAACCAGAAAGCCACGGCUAACUACGUGCCAGCAGCCGCGGUAAUACGUAGGUGGCAAGCGUUGUCCGGAUUUAUUGGGCGUAAAGCGAGCGCAGGCGGUUUCUUAAGUCUGAUGUGAAAGCCCCCGGCUCAACCGGGGAGGGUCAUUGGAAACUGGGAGACUUGAGUGCAGAAGAGGAGAGUGGAAUUCCAUGUGUAGCGGUGAAAUGCGUAGAUAUAUGGAGGAACACCAGUGGCGAAGGCGGCUCUCUGGUCUGUAACUGACGCUGAGGCUCGAAAAGCGUGGGGAGCGAACAGGAUUAGAUACCCUGGUAGUCCACGCCGUAAACGAUGAGUGCUAAGUGUUGGAGGGUUUCCGCCCUUCAGUGCUGCAGCAAACGCAUUAAGCACUCCGCCUGGGGAGUACGACCGCAAGGUUGAAACUUAAAGGAAAUUGACGGGGGUCAUAGCUGUUUCCUG